UACGGGGGGGGCAAGCGUUGUUCGGAAUUACUGGGCGUAAAGGGCUUGUAGGUGGCCAACUAAGUCAGACGUGAAAUCCCUCGGCUUAACCGGGGAACUGCGUCUGAUACUGGAUGGCUUGAGUGUGGGAGAGGGAUGCGGAAUUCCAGGUGUAGCGGUGAAAUGCGCAGAUAUCAGGAGGAACACCGGUGGCGAAGGCGGAUCUCUGGGCCAUUACUGACGCUGAGGAGCGAAAGCGUGGGGAGCGAACAGG
This 253-nucleotide ribosomal RNA is filed under the name uncultured bacterium. Its description in RNAcentral is "partial 16S ribosomal RNA". It matches the Rfam family "Bacterial small subunit ribosomal RNA", at positions 524 to 776 of the family's 1533-position model. The record is from RNAcentral.